This 503-nucleotide ribosomal RNA is filed under the name uncultured soil bacterium. RNAcentral's name for it is "bacterial SSU rRNA". It matches the Rfam family "Bacterial small subunit ribosomal RNA", at positions 26 to 510 of the family's 1533-position model. The record is from RNAcentral.
AGAUUGAACGCUGGCGGCAUGCCUAACACAUGCAAGUCGAACGGGAGUAGCAAUACUCUAGUGGCGGACGGGUGAGGAAUACGUAGGAAUUUGCCCUUAAGUGGGGGAUAACCCGGGGAAACCCGGAUUAAUACCGCAUGACCUCGAAAGAGCAAAGUGGGGGAUCGCAAGACCUCACGCUUUUGGAGAAGCCUACGUCGGAUUAGCUAGUUGGUGAGGUAAUGGCUCACCAAGGCGACGAUCCGUAACUGGUCUGAGAGGAUGAUCAGUCACACCGGAACUGAGACACGGUCCGGACUCCUACGGGAGCAGCAGUGGGGAAUAGUUAGGACAAGUGGGCGCAAGCCUGAUCCAGCAAUGCCGCGUGUGUGAAGGAAGGCCGUUCGGUUAGGUAAAGACGUAACUUUAACGUUAGGGAAAGAAAAAACUACGACUCGUAACAACGAGUAGAGUUCGUUAGUACGGUACCGACAAGAAUAAGACACCGGACUAACGUCCUGUCG